GAGUUUGAUCAUGGCUCAGGAUGAACGCUGGCGGCGUGCCUAAUACAUGCAAGUCGAGCGAAUGGAUUGAGAGCUUGCUCUCAAGAAGUUAGCGGCGGACGGGUGAGUAACACGUGGGUAACCUGCCCAUAAGACUGGGAUAACUCCGGGAAACCGGGGCUAAUACCGGAUAACAUUUUGAACUGCAUGGUUCGAAAUUGAAAGGCGGCUUCGGCUGUCACUUAUGGAUGGACCCGCGUCGCAUUAGCUAGUUGGUGAGGUAACGGCUCACCAAGGCAACGAUGCGUAGCCGACCUGAGAGGGUGAUCGGCCACACUGGGACUGAGACACGGCCCAGACUCCUACGGGAGGCAGCAGUAGGGAAUCUUCCGCAAUGGACGAAAGUCUGACGGAGCAACGCCGCGUGAGUGAUGAAGGCUUUCGGGUCGUAAAACUCUGUUGUUAGGGAAGAACAAGUGCUAGUUGAAUAAGCUGGCACCUUGACGGUA
This 488-nucleotide ribosomal RNA is filed under the name Bacillus sp. (in: firmicutes). Its description in RNAcentral is "bacterial SSU rRNA". It matches the Rfam family "Bacterial small subunit ribosomal RNA", at positions 9 to 477 of the family's 1533-position model. Lineage: Bacteria; Bacillati; Bacillota; Bacilli; Caryophanales; Bacillaceae. The record is from RNAcentral.